UACGUAGGCAGCAAGCGUUGUUCGGAGUUACUGGGCGUAAAGGGUGUGUAGGCGGUUUUCUAAGUCUGGUGUGAAAUCUCCCGGCUCAACUGGGAGGGUGCGCCGAAAACUGGAAGGCUAGAGUGCGGGAUGGGAGAGUGGAAUUCCUGGUGUAGCGGUGAAAUGCGUAGAUAUCAGGAGGAACACCUGUGGUGUAGACGGCUCUCUGGACCGCAACUGACGCUGAGACACGAAAGCUAGGGGAGCAAACAGG
This 253-nucleotide ribosomal RNA is filed under the name uncultured bacterium. RNAcentral describes it as "partial 16S ribosomal RNA". It matches the Rfam family "Bacterial small subunit ribosomal RNA", at positions 524 to 776 of the family's 1533-position model. The record is from RNAcentral.